This 429-nucleotide ribosomal RNA is filed under the name Gemmatimonadota bacterium. RNAcentral describes it as "Gemmatimonadetes bacterium partial 16S ribosomal RNA". It matches the Rfam family "Bacterial small subunit ribosomal RNA", at positions 355 to 776 of the family's 1533-position model. The record is from RNAcentral. Lineage: Bacteria; Pseudomonadati; Gemmatimonadota.
UAGGGAAUCUUCGGCAAUGGACGAAAGUCUGACCGAGCAACGCCGCGUGAGUGAAGAAGGUUUUCGGAUCGUAAAACUCUGUUGUUAGAGAAGAACAAGGACGUUAGUAACUGAACGUCCCCUGACGGUAUCUAACCAGAAAGCUACGGCUAACUACGUGCCAGCAGCCGCGGUAAUACGUAGGUGGCAAGCGUUGUCCGGAUUUAUUGGGCGUAAAGCGAGCGCAGGCGGUUUCUUAAGUCUGAUGUGAAAGCCCCCGGCUCAAACGGGGAAGGUCAUUGGAAACUGGGAGACUUGAGUGCAGAAGAGGAGAGGGGAAUUCCAGGUGUAGCGGGGAAAUGCGUAGAUAUAUGGAGGAACACCAGUGGCGAAGGCGGCUCUAUGGUCUGUAACUGACGCUGAGGCUCGAAAGCGUGGGGAGCAAACAGG